CGGGCGGACGGGUGAGUAAUGUCUGGGAAACUGCCCGAUGGAGGGGGAUAACUACUGGAAACGGUAGCUAAUACCGCAUAACGUCGCAAGACCAAAGAGGGGGACCUUCGGGCCUCUUGCCAUCGGAUGUGCCCAGAUGGGAUUAGCUAGUAGGUGGGGUAACGGCUCACCUAGGCGACGAUCCCUAGCUGGUCUGAGAGGAUGACCAGCCACACUGGAACUGAGACACGGUCCAG
This 236-nucleotide ribosomal RNA is filed under the name uncultured bacterium. RNAcentral's name for it is "partial 16S ribosomal RNA". It matches the Rfam family "Bacterial small subunit ribosomal RNA", at positions 95 to 334 of the family's 1533-position model. The record is from RNAcentral.